Molecule: ribosomal RNA, 476 nt
Filed under: uncultured bacterium
Lineage: Bacteria
Description: bacterial SSU rRNA
Rfam family: Bacterial small subunit ribosomal RNA
Source: RNAcentral
AUGGGAACGCGAAGAACCUUACCUACUCUUGACAUCCAGAGAACUUUCCAGAGAUGGAUUGGUGCCUUCGGGAACUCUGAGACAGGUGCUGCAUGGCUGUCGUCAGCUCGUGUUGUGAAUGUUGGGUUAAGUCCCGCAACGAGCGCAACCCGUUAUCCUUUGUUGCCAGCGGUUAGGCCGGGAACUCAAAGGAGACUGCCAGUGAUAAACUGGAGGAAGGUGGGGAUGACGUCAAGUCAUCAUGGCCCUUACGAGUAGGGCUACACACGUGCUACAAUGGCGCAUACAAAGAGAAGCGACCUCGCGAGAGCAAGCGGACCUCAUAAAGUGCGUCGUAGUCCGGAUUGGAGUCUGCAACUCGACUCCAUGAAGUCGGAAUCGCUAGUAAUCGUAGAUCAGAAUGCUAACGGUGAAUACGUUCCCCGGGUCUUGUACACACCGAGUCGUGGGAGGGCAAGGGGCACGACAGGGGGGGG